Molecule: ribosomal RNA, 450 nt
Filed under: uncultured bacterium
Lineage: Bacteria
Description: partial 16S ribosomal RNA
Rfam family: Bacterial small subunit ribosomal RNA
Source: RNAcentral
GUGGGGAAUAUUGGACAAUGGGCGAAAGCCUGAUCCAGCCAUGCCGCGUGUGUGAAGAAGGUCUUCGGAUUGUAAAGCACUUUAAGUUGGGAGGAAGGGUAGUAACCUAAUACGUUGCUACUUUGCCGUUACCGACAGAAUAAGCACCGGCUAACUUCGUGCCAGCAGCCGCGGUAAUACGAAGGGUGCAAGCGUUAAUCGGAAUUACUGGGCGUAAAGCGCGCGUAGGAGGUUCAGUAAGUUGGAAGUGAAAUCCCCGGGCUCAACCUGGGAACUGCUUUCAAAACUGCUGAGCUAGAGUACGGUAGAGGGUGGUGGAAUUUCCUGUGUAGCGGUGAAAUGCGUAGAUAUAGGAAGGAACACCAGUGGCGAAGGCGACCACCUGGACUGAUACUGACACUGAGGUGCGAAAGCGUGGGGAGCAAACAGGAUUAGAAACCCCAGUAGUCC